GCUGAUUUAGGUGAAGUGUUAGCUGGUGUAUGGUCAUUGUAUUCUUAGAUGAAUACAUCGCAUUAGUGAAGAAUCUGUUUGAUACUGCGGUCGCUCAAUACGACUAAUUAGCU
Molecule: transfer RNA, 113 nt
Filed under: Vibrio sp. MED222
Lineage: Bacteria; Pseudomonadati; Pseudomonadota; Gammaproteobacteria; Vibrionales; Vibrionaceae
Description: tRNA-Asp
Source: RNAcentral